GCUUUCGUGGUGUAAUGGUCAGCACGUUGGGAGCGUAUUCGAGAGAUUCCUGGUUCGAAUCCCGGCUAGGGCA
Molecule: transfer RNA, 73 nt
Filed under: Stegodyphus mimosarum
Lineage: Eukaryota; Metazoa; Arthropoda; Arachnida; Araneae; Eresidae
Rfam family: tRNA
About the family: Transfer RNA (tRNA) molecules are approximately 80 nucleotides in length. Their secondary structure includes four short double-helical elements and three loops (D, anti-codon, and T loops).
Source: Rfam by way of RNAcentral